Molecule: transfer RNA, 72 nt
Filed under: Podarcis lilfordi (Lilford's wall lizard)
Lineage: Eukaryota; Metazoa; Chordata; Lepidosauria; Squamata; Lacertidae
Description: tRNA.Ile
Rfam family: tRNA (bases 1-55)
About the family: Transfer RNA (tRNA) molecules are approximately 80 nucleotides in length. Their secondary structure includes four short double-helical elements and three loops (D, anti-codon, and T loops).
Source: RNAcentral
CCUGUGAUAGCUCAGCUGGUUAGAGCAUGGUGCUGAUAACUCCAAGGUUGCAGGUUUGAUCCUCAUAUGGGA